Notothenia coriiceps (black rockcod) is the source of this 476-nucleotide long non-coding RNA. RefSeq lists it as uncharacterized. The transcript is spliced from 3 exons. NCBI's taxonomy places the organism in Eukaryota, Metazoa, Chordata, Actinopteri, Perciformes, Nototheniidae. The record is from RefSeq and is a predicted model, not a curated record.
CGUCCUGCGUCACUGCACUGCCGCUCCGGUCGGACCAUCAGCACCACAGGAUGGAUGUUGUAAUGGCUUCAAUACAACAAAAAUUCCCAGAAAAAGGGUGACACACGUGGCGAAGACCCCGAGUGGCUGUGAAUCCCAAGCAAUUGUAAUCACAACAUGUCUGAAGAAGUUUUGUAUUGAUCCUAACCUGCAAUUCGCAAAGAAACAAUUGGCACUUUUCGAGGAGUCACCAUCCAAACAUGGUUUCAAUCUCAAACCAUGUGAAUAGAAGAAUAAAACUCACAUUGUGAGCCAGAGUGUCUUUUAAGAUAAGACAAUAUCAACUACUACUGCAUGUUACUGAAUUAAUAUUAAGAUUUAUGAGUUCUCAUUUGUGUGUAUGACUUGUCCUAAAUUAAUAUUUGGAAAACAUUGUAAAUGUAUUUUGCUACACAUUAACUGUCCCUUUUAGAAUAAAAUAUUAUUUUUGUAUUUAA